UGAGCAAUCUGCCCUUCUCAUCGGAAUAAGCGUUGGAAACGACGUCUAAUGCCGAAUACGACCUCCUUCCACAUGAUCGGAGGUGGAAAGCUCCGGCGGAGAAGGAUGAGCUCGCGGCCUAUCAGCUAGUUGGUGUGGGUAACGGCCCACCAAGGCGACGACGGUAGCCGGCCUGAGAGGGUGACCGGCCACACUGGGACUGAGACACGGCCCAGACCUCCGUACGGGAGGCAG
RNAcentral lists this ribosomal RNA (234 nucleotides) under uncultured bacterium. RNAcentral's name for it is "partial 16S ribosomal RNA". It matches the Rfam family "Bacterial small subunit ribosomal RNA", at positions 118 to 351 of the family's 1533-position model. The record is from RNAcentral.